Long non-coding RNA from Cyprinus carpio carpio, 1771 nucleotides. The record is from Ensembl. Lineage: Eukaryota; Metazoa; Chordata; Actinopteri; Cypriniformes; Cyprinidae.
CGUAGCCACCAGAUCCAGUCUGUAUCCAGCCCAGAUGGUGGAUCAGCACCUAGAAACGACCUCUACAGCCCUGAAAGACAGCAGAGACCAGGACAACUAGAGCCCCAGAUACAGAUCCCCUGUAAAGACCUUGUCUCAGACGACCACCGGGACAAGACCACAGGAAACAGAUGAUUCUUCUGCACAAUGUGACUUUGCUGCAGCCUGGAACUGAACUUCUGGUUUCGUCUGGCCAGAGGAGAACUGGCCCCCGACUGAGCCUGGUUUCUCCCAAGGUUUUUUUCUCCAUUCUGUCACUGAUGGAGUUUUGGUUCCUUGCCGCUGUCGCCUCUGGCUUGCUUAGUUGGGGACACUUCAUUUACAGCGAUAUCAUUGACUUGAUUGCAAAUGAUUGCACAGAUACUAUUUAAACUCAACUGAGCUGCAUGAUGACAUCACUGAAUUCAAUGAUGAACUGCCUUUAACUGUCAUUUUGCAUUAUUGACACACUGUUUUCCUAAUUAAUGUUGUUCAGUUGCUUUGACGCAAUCUUUUUUGUUUAAAGCGCUAUAUAAAUAAAGAUGACUUGACUUGACUACAGGAGGGUGGUAAAGCGGAGGCGGAACAGGGGGAGGGACGGAGGGUCAGGUCCAUGAGGGGAUGGAGAGAUGGGAUUGAACCAGCCGCCCAACAGGGCGAAGCAGACAAGGCAGACGGCCACCAGGGCGGAUCGGGCGGCGACUCGGACGCCCCCAGGACGGAUCAGGCAGAACAGAGACCCCGGGUAGUAACCGGAACCUAAGAGAGGGUGAGAUACAAAAAGACAGGCAGAGUGGACGGCCCUGGAACCCUCCUGGGUGGAGCAGACAGAGUGGAUGGGUAGACUGAACUGGCUAGGACAGCAUGCUUGGGACUGGAGCCUGGAAGAAGCAGAGACAGACAACAUAGACAGAGGAUUCAUGGCCCCAAGGACCGAGACUUGAAUGGAUGAAGAUUCAUAGGCGGCCUCCUUAGCCGUGACAGGACAGGGCGAGAGUUCAUUAACGGCUUCCAUAGCCGUGACUUGGCAAGAUGAGAGUUCAGAAAUGGCCUCCAUAGCCGUGACUGGGCAGGACGAGGAUUCAUGAGCGGCAUCCAUAGCCGUGACUGGGCAGGACGAGAGUUUUAUUUUUAUUUAUUUAUUAAUUUUUUAUAUGUAUUUAUUUAUUCCCACGUGUAUUUAUUUCCAGAUUUAUUUAUUUAUUUAUUUAUUUUUACUUUUCCGUGUGCAACAUGAAAAUGAGGAGGGCGGUCCUUGUGGAUUGCUGGUGAAUCAUUGGUUGAGAGCUCACGCAGAUAAGUCAGAUUAAACGAAUAAUAGAGAUCGGAGUUUGAGAGUGGGAUGUGCCAGAACAACUGGAGAGAUCCAAUGUAUUUUCACAGAUUCCAAUUUAUUAUGUUUAAUUAUUUAAUAGUGACUGAAUUCAGUUACUUAUCCUCACAGUUACUGCUCAUAGUGACUGCUGUUUCAAAGUCAAAUAUAUAUAUAUGUGUGUGUGUGUGUGUGUGUGUGUGUGUGUGUGUGUGUGUGUGUGUGUGUGUGUGUGUGUGUGUGUGUGUGUGUGUGUGUGUGUAUUUUUUUUAUUUAUUUUUUUUGGCACACUCUGUAAAUUUGAUCUUUUUGUUUCAUUUAUUCAUUCAAAAAAUCUAAACUUUCAAAAAGUAAAACAAAUGAAAGUAGACCAAGAGUCACAUUAUGAAAUAACUUUUUCUAAUACACGUUGGCCACAAUUAUUGGUACCCCUAAAAAUUA